UUGCACGCUGGCGGCAGGCCUCACCCAUGCAAGUCGAGCGGAUGAAGGGAGCUUGCUCCUGGAUUCAGCGGCGGACGGGUGAGUAAUGCCUAGGAAUCUGCCUGGUAGUGGGGGAUAACGUCCGGAAACGGGCGCUAAUACCGCAUACGUCCUGAGGGAGAAAGUGGGGGAUCUUCGGAUCUCACGCUAUCAGAUGAGCCUAGGUCGGAUUAGCUAGUUGGUGGGGUAAAGGCCUACCAAGGCGACGAUCCGUAACUGGUCUGAGAGGAUGAUCAGUCACACUGGAACUGAGACACGGUCCAGACUCCUACGGGAGGCAGCAGUGGGGAAUAUUGGACAAUGGGCGAAAGCCUGAUCCAGCCAUGCCGCGUGUGUGAAGAAGGUCUUCGGAUUGUAAAGCACUUUAAGUUGGGAGGAAGGGCAGUAAGUUAAUACCUUGCUGUUUUGACGUUACCAACAGAAUAAGCACCGGCUAACUUCGUG
This 483-nucleotide ribosomal RNA is filed under the name uncultured bacterium. Its description in RNAcentral is "partial 16S ribosomal RNA". It matches the Rfam family "Bacterial small subunit ribosomal RNA", at positions 30 to 507 of the family's 1533-position model. The record is from RNAcentral.